CUGGCUGUCACUUAUGGGGCAGGGCUGUCACUUAUGGGUCAGGGCUGUCACUUAUGGGUCAGGGCUGUCACUUAUGGGGCAGUGCUGUCACUUAUGGGGCAGGGCUGUCACUUAUGGGGCAGGAAGGGGGCACUUAUGGGGCAGGGCUGUCACUUAUGGGGCAGGGCUGUCACUUAAGGGGCAGGGCUGUCACUUAUGGGGCAGGGCUGUCACUUAUGGGGCCUGGCUGUCACUUAUGGGGCAGGAAGGGGGCACUUAUGGGGGAGGGCACUUAUGGGGCAGAGGUGUCACUUAUGGGGCCUGGCUGUCACUUAUGGGUCAGGGAUGUCACUUAUGGGUCAGGGUUUCACUUAUGGGGCAGGGCUGUCACUUAUGGGGUAGGAAGGGUGCACUUAUGGGGUGGGGGGGGCACUUAUGGGUCCGGGCUGUCACUUAUGGGGCAUGGUUGUCACUUAUGGGGCAGAAAGGGGGCACUUAUGGAGUGGGGAGGGCUCUUAUGGGGCAGAGGUGUUACUUAUGGGGCCUG
Molecule: long non-coding RNA, 526 nt
Filed under: Coturnix japonica (Japanese quail)
Lineage: Eukaryota; Metazoa; Chordata; Aves; Galliformes; Phasianidae
Description: lncRNA (ENSCJPG00005002810.1)
Source: RNAcentral